Molecule: small RNA, 125 nt
Filed under: Marmota monax (woodchuck)
Lineage: Eukaryota; Metazoa; Chordata; Mammalia; Rodentia; Sciuridae
Source: RNAcentral
GCCAGGGGUGGUGGUGCAUGCCUGUAAUCUCAGCAGCUUGGGAGGCUGAGACAGGAGUAUCUCGAGUUCAAAGCCAGCCUCAGCAACAGCAAGGUGCUAAGCAACUCAGUGAGACCUUGUCUCUA